RNAcentral lists this long non-coding RNA (645 nucleotides) under Zostera marina. Its description in RNAcentral is "long non-coding RNA (ZMAR_LNC002150)". The record is from RNAcentral. Lineage: Eukaryota; Viridiplantae; Streptophyta; Magnoliopsida; Alismatales; Zosteraceae.
GACUAGAUAACUGGAUGAGGGAUCUGCGUAAAGUAGUCAACCUCUGUAUUUGACCAGAUAACUGAAAGAGGGAUCCUUUUCAAUUAAGUGUUGUUUAGUUGUUUUUAGAUGAAAGAUAAAAACUAGAGUUAACAAAGAACAACACAAGAGAUUUAUACUGGUUCACCCAAACAAGGGCUAGUCUAGUCCCGACCAACUGUCGGAAUUCACUCGCCUAAAGGUUAUGGCAAAACCUUAGAGUAUCAAGGAAACUCUUAAGAACCUCUCUAAGCUUUAAAGCUACUUCGCUUAGGAACCAAUCUUUUACGGGUAGACUCACACCUUAGAGUAUCAAGGGCAGUCUUAAGAACCUCUAACUUUUGCGGGUAAGUUAGUACCUUAGAGUAUCAAGGAACUCUUAAAAACCUCUGAAAUCUUUAAAGGUAGACUCGACAUGAGAGUUUUCCCGGAAACUCUAUAAAACCAAACUAGAGCUUUAUGGUUGAGCUCAAAAACCUUCUCUCACACUUUGGUACUAUUGAGACAACCCUCUCAACCAAAGUAGACACACACAAGAGGUGAUUAGAGGAGUGGAAUAUUAAAGCAAACAACACUUCUUACUUAUAAAGAUGAACAAGAAGAUUAAAAGAAGAAGUUGGAGAGCUU